This is a non-coding RNA of Corylus avellana, 868 nucleotides long. The record is from RefSeq and is a predicted model, not a curated record. NCBI's taxonomy places the organism in Eukaryota, Viridiplantae, Streptophyta, Magnoliopsida, Fagales, Betulaceae.
UUGUUUCAUAUCUUAGUUUCCUUUAUCUCAUCAUAUGUUUAUUCAGUUCCACCUUAUGUUUCUUAAUUCACUGAGCAGGCAAGGUGAUUGCUCCUCCAAAGCACUUUCUGUAGGAUUGGUGGCUGUCGUAACAAGGUUUUUUCACCUUAAAUUUAGGAGGGACAUGUUUCUAAUUAGAGUGAGAUCUCACCACACUGAGUUGAAUCACCCCAUGCCAAGCUACUUUAUUUGUGCAUAUGUCAAUUAUUUGACUCCUUGCUUCUGUCAAAAGUUUGAUACUUUUGAUUUCUAGGACUUGACGGUAGGUCAGUUUUCAUUGGCGGCUUUGGUUGCGAUGGAUAAGGGAGGUGAACUUUUGCCAACAGGUUUGGCUCGUAUCCAGGACUCGCUGGUAUGGUUUCGCCAAGCGCUUUGGUUGUGAGGGCUAAGGGAGGUGAACAACAUAUGGGAGAGAAAGGGAAAGAUGGGGAGGUUGCGCGAUGUCUCCUGGAUGGGGUGGAUGGGGAUUCUCCUCUUGGUAUCUAUGUCCCUGUUGUGUUGGGAGAUUCCGUGUACUCAGGUUCUGUUCAUUGGGAGGUUGACACUUUUUCAGCUGGUUUAUGAAGUUGGCUCUCAAGGGUGGCAAGUCAUGAGCCCUAUAGGUUGUAGGCUAUACAGAUUUGGGUAUAUAAUAGUUGCUUUCUCUUUUGUGCAUGUCUUCUGUUAUUUAUGUUCAUUGGCCACGCAAUUUAAAUUAAAAGUAAGCAGGGAACUGGAAAGAGUUACCACAAUUCCUAUUGAAUAUUGUGCACAAUUUAUGAUGCUAAGGUGCCUCUGCAUUGUCUGAAAGCUGUCCCCUGUUUAAGAGAUGAGCACAUGAUGAUUUUAA